AGGAAGAAUACGGGUCAUAGAGAAGGGUGGAGAGAACCAAACAAACAAGAACGACGACUCUCCAAGAUUCUUUUUCUUUUGAUCUUUUCUAGUUCUAGAUUUUUAGUUUGAUCCCACUCGCUUUGCGACAAACCCUAGCAGUUGUCUGCAGUUGAAGGGGUCUCCUUCUCUCUCUUUCCUCUUCUUCUUGUCCCUUCUUCGGGCUCCAAUCUCGAAUGGAUCGGUACCAGAGGGUGCAGAAGCCGAAGGAGGCAACCUCUGUCAAUGAGAAUGAGAUUCGUAUUACGGCUCAGGGUAGGAUGCGCAGCUACAUCACUUACGCCACCAGCCUGCUUCAGGUAUCAACCUCCUUGCCCAAGCAUCAGGUGAAACCACUUUCUGAAUUUGAUUAUGGUGGAGGUACAUUUCUUCAUUUUAUCUGUUUAGCUGCUUUAUAUGCUUAUCUUUGUUGACAAUUUAUUUGC
Molecule: non-coding RNA, 464 nt
Organism: Phoenix dactylifera (date palm)
Lineage: Eukaryota; Viridiplantae; Streptophyta; Magnoliopsida; Arecales; Arecaceae
Source: RefSeq, a predicted model, not a curated record